CACGUAGGCUGUUAUUUAAGUGUGGAUUGAAAGGCCGGAGCUUAACUCCGAGUUUGGUCUGCAAACUGGAUGACUGGAGUGCGGGAUGGGAGACUGGAAUUCCAUGUGUAAGGGUAAUAUCUGUAGAUAUGUGGAAGAAUACUUGUGGCGAAGGCGAGUCUCUGGCCUGUAACUGACGCUAAUGUGCGAAAGUGUGGGGAGCGAACAGGAUUAGAUACCCUGGUAGUCC
Molecule: ribosomal RNA, 229 nt
Filed under: uncultured bacterium
Lineage: Bacteria
Description: partial 16S ribosomal RNA
Rfam family: Bacterial small subunit ribosomal RNA
Source: RNAcentral